ACAGAGACUGCAAGCGUUAUUCGGAUUCACUGGGCGUAAAGGGUGCGCAGGCGGCCGUGUGUGUGAGAUGUGAAAUCCCGGAGUUUAACUCCGGAACUGCGUCUCAAACUACACGGCUAGAGCAUUGGAGAGGGAAGUGGAAUUCACGGUGUAGCAGUGAAAUGCGUAGAUAUCGUGAGGAACACCAGAGGCGAAGGCGACUUCCUGGACAAUUGCUGACGCUCAGGCACGAAAGCGUGGGGAGCAAAAGGGAUUAGAUACCCCUGUAGUCCACGCCCUAAACGGUGCAUACUAGGUUUUGGAGGAUUCGACCCCUUCAGGACCCAAGCUAACGCGUUAAGUAUGCCGCCUGAGGACUACGGCCGCAAGGCUA
Molecule: ribosomal RNA, 373 nt
Filed under: uncultured bacterium
Lineage: Bacteria
Description: bacterial SSU rRNA
Rfam family: Bacterial small subunit ribosomal RNA
Source: RNAcentral